GAUGAACGCUGGCGGCGUGCCUAAUACAUGCAAGUCGAGCGAACGGACGAGAAGCUUGCUUUUCUGAUGUUAGCGGCGGACGGGUGAGUAACACGUGGAUAACCUACCUAUAAGACUGGGAUAACUUCGGGAAACCGGAGCUAAUACCGGAUAAUAUUUUGAACCGCAUGGUUCAAAAGUGAAAGACGGUCUUGCCGUCACUUAUAGAUGGAUCCGCGCUGCAUUAGCUAGUUGGUAAGGUAACGGCUUACCAAGGCAACGAUGCAUAGCCGACCUGAGAGGGUGAUCGGCCACACUGGAACUGAGACACGGUCCAGACUCCUACGGGAGGCAGCAGUAGGGAAUCUUCCGCAAUAGGCGAAAGCCUGACGGAGCAACGCCGCGUGAGUGAUGAAGGUCUUCGGAUCGUAAAACUCUGUUAUUAGGGAAGAACAUAUGUGUAAGUAACUGUGCACAUCUUGACGGUACCUAAUCAGAAAGCCACGGCUAACUACGUG
This 497-nucleotide ribosomal RNA is filed under the name uncultured bacterium. RNAcentral's name for it is "partial 16S ribosomal RNA". It matches the Rfam family "Bacterial small subunit ribosomal RNA", at positions 28 to 507 of the family's 1533-position model. The record is from RNAcentral.